Molecule: ribosomal RNA, 293 nt
Filed under: uncultured bacterium
Lineage: Bacteria
Description: partial 16S ribosomal RNA
Rfam family: Bacterial small subunit ribosomal RNA
Source: RNAcentral
GUGUCAGCCGCCGCGGUAACACGUAGGCACCAAGCGUUGUCCGGAUUUAUUGGGCGUAAAGAGCUCGUAGGCGGUUCGGUAAGUCGGGUGUGAAAACUUUGGGCUCAACCCAAAGCGUGCACUCGAUACUGCCAUGACUAGAGUUCGGUAGGGGAGUGGGGAAUUCCUAGUGUAGCGGUGAAAUGCGCAGAUAUUAGGAGGAACACCGGUGGCGAAGGCGCCACUCUGGGCCGAAACUGACGCUGAGGAGCGAAAGCGUGGGUAGCAAACAGGAUUAGAUACCCCCGUAGUCC